Molecule: ribosomal RNA, 301 nt
Filed under: uncultured bacterium
Lineage: Bacteria
Description: partial 16S ribosomal RNA
Rfam family: Bacterial small subunit ribosomal RNA
Source: RNAcentral
CAGUCGCCACGGUAAUACAGAGGGUGCGAGCGUUAAUCGGAACUACUGGGCGUAAAGGGCGCGUAGGCGGUUAGGAAGGUGUGAUGUGAAAGCCCUGGGCUUAACCUAGGAAGUGCAUCGCAAACCAGCUAGCUGGAGUAUAAGAGAGGGUGGCGGAAUUUCCGGUGUAGCGGUGAAAUGCGUAGAGAUCGGAAGGAACGUCAAGGGCGAAGGCAGCCACCUGGCUUAAUACUGACGCUGAGGCGCGAAAGCGUGGGGAGCGAACAGGAUUAGAUACCCGAGUAGUCCCUGUCUCUUAUAC